AGAAUCAACGCUGGCGGCGUGCCUAACACAUGCAAGUCGAACGAGAAAGUGGAGCAAUCCAUGAGUAAAGUGGCGACCGGGUGAGUAACACGUGACUAACCUACCUUCAAGUGGGGGAUAACCUCGGGAAACCGGGGCUAAUACCGCAUAACAUCUUUGGAGUGGAAAUUCUGGAGAUCAAAGGAGCAAUUCGCUGGAAGAGGGGGUCGCGGCAGAUUAGUUAGUUGGCGGGGUAAUGGCCCACCAAGACGAUGAUCGGUA
RNAcentral lists this ribosomal RNA (261 nucleotides) under uncultured bacterium. RNAcentral describes it as "partial small subunit ribosomal RNA". It matches the Rfam family "Bacterial small subunit ribosomal RNA", at positions 26 to 285 of the family's 1533-position model. The record is from RNAcentral.